Lemur catta (Ring-tailed lemur) is the source of this 737-nucleotide long non-coding RNA. RefSeq lists it as uncharacterized. The transcript is spliced from 3 exons. The record is from RefSeq and is a predicted model, not a curated record. Lineage: Eukaryota; Metazoa; Chordata; Mammalia; Primates; Lemuridae.
CUUGGGGCGGGGCAGCCCCCACCCCCACCCCGGCAGCCGGCGGUUGAGGUGACCCGGACCCUAUGCGUGGUCUGGGUGACUCCGGACCCGGAGUGCCAGCUGGGCUCGGAGAGACGAAGGCACCGUGCCAGGCGGAACGCGUCCGUCCUGCCCGCCUCCCGCAGGUCUGCGUCAGACCAGAUCCUGGCUUCUGGGUUCCCGACCUCACUCGGCCUCUGCAUCAUCUGCGCGACAUUUGAGCUGUCACCUCACCUCCCUCAGCGGAAAGUGUCGGCUUGCCUAAUCUAGGAGAUGAGCAGUAAGGGAAUUAACAUCCAUGGAGAAUGGAAGAUCCUACUGGUUGCUAAGUACACACCUGUGAUGCACCUUAUAUAUUCCUUACCAACCAACUGGAAGGUCGUGAAAAGGAUAACUUCUGCCUGGCACUGGCUCUGUCUCUACAUCACGCGCUCUGGAGGACGCCAGCCGUCGUGCUGUGAGGACCUUCAGUCAAGUCGCGUGUGCACAGGCUCAUCUGGGGAGGAACUGAGGCCUCUGACAAGUUGUCAGUGUGUGAAUGAGUGACCCACCCAGAGAUGGAUGCUCCAGCUCAAGUUCCAUCUUCUUCCUGGCCUCUCUCCAAGUCACCUCACCUUCCCUUCUCUGAACCGCUACGUUUCUUUGCCGUAUUAUUGUUGCUGUGACCAUACAUUGCCUCAUUUCAUCAUCUUUCAAAAAAACUUCUCAUUUCUCUGACA